This 486-nucleotide ribosomal RNA is filed under the name uncultured bacterium. RNAcentral describes it as "partial 16S ribosomal RNA". It matches the Rfam family "Bacterial small subunit ribosomal RNA", at positions 46 to 523 of the family's 1533-position model. The record is from RNAcentral.
GCCUAACACAUGCAAGUCGAGCGGCAGCAUGCUUAGUAGCAAUACUAAGUGAUGGCGAGCGGCGGACGGGUGAGGAACACGUAGGAACCUGCCCAAGAGAGGGGGACAACCAAUGGAAACGUUGGCUAAUACCGCAUAAUCUCUUAGGAGAAAAGUUGCCCGUAAGGGUAGCGCUUUUGGAGGGGCCUGCGUCCGAUUAGCUAGUUGGUGAGGUAAUAGCUCACCAAGGCUGUGAUCGGUAACUGGUCUGAGAGGACGACCAGUCACACUGGGACUGAGACACGGCCCAGACUCCUACGGGAGGCAGCAGUGGGGAAUCUUGGACAAUGGGGGCAACCCUGAUCCAGCGAUGCCGCGUGGGUGAAGAAGGCCUUCGGGUUGUAAAGCCCUUUAGGCUGGGACGAAGGAUGUGGGACGAAUAAUCCUGCAUUUUGACGGUACCAGCAGAAUAAGCACCAGCAAACUCUGUGCCAGCAGCCGCAGUAA